Molecule: long non-coding RNA, 938 nt
Organism: Homo sapiens (human)
Lineage: Eukaryota; Metazoa; Chordata; Mammalia; Primates; Hominidae
Gene: SNHG27
Product: small nucleolar RNA host gene 27
Source: Ensembl
AGUGACCGCCACCGUUGCCCGGGGAUGGGUCCCUGAGACUUUGCGAAGUAGGAGCCCUGUGUGAUCGUGCGUCAGAGUCGGGGCUGAGACCAGUCCUGGCCAGGGCAGUUACCAGGACGGUCUCCGGAGGCCGGGAUUCGCGGAGGGUCCACCAGCAGGAAGAAACGCCAGAAGGAAGAAACCUCAGACAGAUCGCCGGGGAGGCAGCGCGGGAUCCCAGCCUCAGGCGUGCGCGGACGGUGUGCGGGAAGGGAGUGUAUCCUGGUGUAUGACAGCAUAUAGUAGAGACCAGUGUCAAUUAGGGCCUGUGAACUGAGACAGGGUGACUGGCUAAGUCCACAACCCAUUAGAAACCCAGAAAUAAUCAAAUCAUGGAGAGAUUAGUCCAGGGACAAUAAAUAUGGAUUAGGGAAGAAUGUGUUAACUCAGCAGGCCAGGGUUUCUUCAACCCUGCACAUUCAAAGUUCUAGAUCCUUGAGGAAUCACCAUACUGUCUUCCACAAUGGUUGAACUAAUUUACACUCCCACCAAUAGUGUAAGAGUGUUCUCUUACUACACUUCCAAUUUGGCUGGACUUUGAGCUUUGUCUGUGGUCCCCCGCUUUUUACAAUCCCAAGAAACAUGGCCUCAUCCUUAUCAGGACCAGAGAAUGCUCUCAAGGCUCCUCCUUGAGUUAUUGGGAAUAAGUAAUGCUUCUCAAUAAAGCUUCGUGUCAACAAAUCUGAACAUAUAACAUCUCAGCUAGAGCAAGUUACUAAAAAUAGGCUCAAUUUGUACCUUGCAGUCAUGCCUUCAUAACCACUUUUCAAUUAAUCCUGCUUAAUUCAGAGAAUGUAUAAAUAUGUAAUUUUGCAUCACUUUUAAGGCAGCCAUUUUAUUUUGAAAUGCAACUAACAUUAUAUGCAUAAAUUCAAUAAAUAUAAAGCUGUUUUCAAAAA